UACGUAGGGUGCAAGCGUUGUCCGGAAUUAUUGGGCGUAAUGAGCUCGUAGGCGGUCUGUCGCGUCUGCUGUGAAAACUCGGGGCUUAACCCCGGGCCUGCAGUGGGUACGGGCAGACUAGAGUGCGGUAGGGGAGACUGGAAUUCCUGGUGUAGCGGUGAAAUGCGCAGAUAUCAGGAGGAACACCGGUGGCGAAGGCGGCAUCCUGGACCAACACUGACGCUGAGGAGCGAAAGCCAGGGGAGCAAACGGG
This 253-nucleotide ribosomal RNA is filed under the name uncultured bacterium. Its description in RNAcentral is "partial 16S ribosomal RNA". It matches the Rfam family "Bacterial small subunit ribosomal RNA", at positions 524 to 776 of the family's 1533-position model. The record is from RNAcentral.